RNAcentral lists this ribosomal RNA (253 nucleotides) under uncultured bacterium. RNAcentral describes it as "partial 16S ribosomal RNA". It matches the Rfam family "Bacterial small subunit ribosomal RNA", at positions 524 to 776 of the family's 1533-position model. The record is from RNAcentral.
UACGGAGGGUGAGAGCGGUAAUCGGAAUUACUGGGCGUAAAGGGCGCGUAGGCGGUGGGUUACGUCUGCCGUGAAAUCCCCGGGCUCAACCUGGGAAUGGCGGUGGAAACGGGCUGACUGGAGUAUGGGAGAGGGUGAUGGAAUUCCAGGUGUAGCGGUGAAAUGCGUAGAGAUCUGGAGGAACACCAGUGGCGAAGGCGGUCACCUGGCCCAAUACUGGCGCUGAGGCGCGAAAGCGUGGGGAGCAAACAGG